This 494-nucleotide ribosomal RNA is filed under the name uncultured bacterium. RNAcentral's name for it is "partial 16S ribosomal RNA". It matches the Rfam family "Bacterial small subunit ribosomal RNA", at positions 28 to 507 of the family's 1533-position model. The record is from RNAcentral.
GACGAACGCUGGCGGCGUGCUUAACACAUGCAAGUCGAACGGAAAGGCCUGCUUUCCCUUGUGGAUUGCGGGUACUCGAGUGGCGAACGGGUGAGUAACACGUGAGUGAUCUGCCCCCAACUUGGGUAUAAGCCCGGGAAACUGGGUCUAAUUCCCGAUAGGACUGCAGGGUGGUGCCUGUGGUGGAAAACGAUCUUCUAGUGGUUGGGGAUGAGCCCGCGGCCUAUCAGCUUGUUGGUGGGGUAAUGGCCUACCAAGACGGCGACGGGUAGCCGGCCGGGGAGGGGGGACGGCGGCAUUGGGACUGAGAUACGGCCCAGACUCCUGCGAGAGGUAGGAGUGGGGAAGAAUAGACAAUGGGCGGAAGCCUGAUGCGGCGACGCCGCGUGGGGGAUGACGGCCUUCGGGUUGUAAACUCCUUUCGACCGCGAGGAAGCCACCUGGUUGGAAGGGUGGUGACGGUAGUGGUAGAAGAAGCACCGGCUAACUACGUG